UAGCGGUGGAAUGCGUAGAUAUUAUGAAGAAUACCGGUGGCGAAGGCGGCCUCCUGGAUCUGUACUGACACUGAGGUGCGAAAGCGUGGGUAGCGAACAGGAUUAGAUACCCUGGUAGUCCACGCCGUAAACGAUGACAACUAGCUGUUGGGAGACAAUGUCUUUCAGUGGCGCAGCUAACGUUUUAAGUUGUCCGCCUGGGGAGUACGGCCGCAAGGCUAAAACUCAAAUGAAUUGACGGGGACCCGCACAAGCGGUGGAGCAUGUGGUUUAAUUCGAUGCAACGCGAAAAACCUUACCUACUCUUGACAUACUUGGAAGCUCUUGUAAUGAGAGUGUGCCUUUUGGAACCAAGAUACAGGUGCUGCAUGGCUGUCGUCAGCUCGUGUCGUGAGAUGUUCCGUUAAGUCGGAUAACGAGCGCAACCCUUACCCUUAUUUGCCAGCGAUUCGGUCGGGAACUAUAAGGGGACUGCCGGUGAUAAACCGGAGGAAGGUGAGGACGACGUCAAGUCAUCAUGGCCCUUACGAGUAGGGCUACACACGUGCUACAAUGGGGAAUACAGACGGACGCUAAGCCGCGAGGUGGUGCUAAUCCUAAAAAGUUCUUCGUAGUCCGGAUUGGAGUCUGCAACUCGACUCCAUGAAGUCGGAAUCGCUAGUAAUCGCGAAUCAGCAUGUCGCGGUGAAUACGUUCUCGGGUCUUGUACACACCGCCCGUCACACCAUGGAAGUGGAUUGCACCAGAAGUAGAUAGUCUAACCUUCGGGAGGGCGUUUACCACGGUGUGCUUCAUGACUGGGGUGAAGUCAUAACAAGGUAGCCGUA
This 827-nucleotide ribosomal RNA is filed under the name uncultured bacterium. Its description in RNAcentral is "bacterial SSU rRNA". It matches the Rfam family "Bacterial small subunit ribosomal RNA", at positions 676 to 1504 of the family's 1533-position model. The record is from RNAcentral.